This 357-nucleotide ribosomal RNA is filed under the name Triticum aestivum (bread wheat). RNAcentral describes it as "partial small subunit ribosomal RNA". The record is from RNAcentral. Lineage: Eukaryota; Viridiplantae; Streptophyta; Magnoliopsida; Poales; Poaceae.
AUGGGCCCGCUUCCAAGUGCGUCUGCACGCCGGCCACUCACACCGGGUCCUUCAAGUGCCGCUUCCAUCGCACCAACUCCCAGGGCCACGGCCACGGUCAGGGCCAGGGAAGCCGCCCUUCUUCGCCCCCUUCACCGGUCGCGGCUAACGCGGUGCCGCGGCACCCGGCCUCGCCGUCCUCGUCCUCCGGCACCGUCGCGACCCAGUGACGCAGCCCAAGCAUCGGUCUCGAGAAUCAAGAACGCUCGACAACGGAGAGGGGAGGGAAGAUCAUAUACAUGUCAUAAGAAAGAGAGUUUAUUUACCGCUUCCUCUAUGUAUUGUUUCCUUUGUUUGGAGAUUGAUUACCAUCCGUGA